RNAcentral lists this RNase P RNA (494 nucleotides) under Spirosoma utsteinense. Its description in RNAcentral is "Rnase P class A". It matches the Rfam family "Bacterial RNase P class A". From Rfam's summary of the family: Ribonuclease P (RNase P) is a ubiquitous endoribonuclease, found in archaea, bacteria and eukarya as well as chloroplasts and mitochondria. Its best characterised activity is the generation of mature 5'-ends of tRNAs by cleaving the 5'-leader elements of precursor-tRNAs. The record is from RNAcentral. Lineage: Bacteria; Pseudomonadati; Bacteroidota; Cytophagia; Cytophagales; Cytophagaceae.
AACUCAGGCCAGCUUAUCGCGUUCCGCCCUGGCGGGGCGAGGAAAGUCCGGGCAGCAUAGGGCACCCUACUUCCUAACGGGAAGGCGGACGGCUGGUGACGGCCGUUCGACAGCCAGUGUCACAGAAAAUAUACCGCCCACUUUCAAUGGGUGAAUGAGUAAAGGUGUCAAUGAAUGAAUAAGGUGCAGGACUCCUGUUUACUCUUUCUAUCAUUCUCCCAUUUUACCAUUCACUCAUUGAAAAAUGGGUAAGGGUGAAAUGGUGGGGUAAGAGCCCACCGCCCGUCGGGUGACCGACGGGGCCAGAUAAACCUUAGGGGCUGAAAGACCAAAUAAGCGUCGGACGCGCGGCUGCUCGUCGCCAGCGGCCCGCAAGGGCCAACACCGACGCGGGUAGGUCGAAUGAGGUGUCGGGUGACCGGCAUCCCAGAUAAAUGAUAAGCCAUUCGGCGCAAGCUGGAGGACAGAACCCGGCUUAUAGGCUUGGGUUGUAU